GUCCUGGGAUUAUAGGCGUGAGCCACCGUGCCCGGCCUUUUUUUUUUUAAAGACAGAUAGGGUGUUGCUCUGCUGUCCAGGCUUGAGUGCAGUAGUUGAUCAUAGCCCACUACAACCUCGAACUCCUUGGCUCAAGUGAUCCUCCUGCCUCAGCCUUCAGAGUAGCUAGGACUAAAGGCACGUGACCACUGGAACAGAGCUGCUAACUUUUUUCUUUUCUUUUUUUUUUUUGGAAAGACAAGGUCUCUCUAUGUUGCCCAGGCUGGUCUCAAAGUCCUGGGCUUAAGUGAUCUGGCCACCUCAGCCUCCCGAUGUGCUGGGAUUAUAGGCAUGAGCCACUGCGCCCAGCCACUUAAUUAUCUAAAUAAUUAGCUUGAUUAUCCAUUGCUUAGAGUAGGUCCAGGCACAGUGAGCUCGUCUGGGAAGCAGAUCCCCAAAACCUCACAUGGCGGGAACCCUUAGCAACCAGUUAGGCAGCCCCACAAGCUAACCAUGACUCCUGGUUCUGUUCCAAUUACCCAGGUGCAAUCAAGGCAGGUUUCAAUCAGCUGGUCAGAGAAAAGGUCAUUGUGAACAGACCGCCCAAAGCCAGGAAAAAGCCCAGGCAGAGAAGCUUUGGCGAAGAACACUCGCACUUUGGACCUAAGGGUCAAGGUCUGCACUGAGUGCACAGCCCUCAUCUUUGUGUGGCUGACCUGCACACUGUCAGGCACCUUCUCUGUCGGAUAGAAAGCAAAAAAUAGAUCAGCAAGCUGCAGCUCACAUUUUAAAAUCACCGAGAGAGGGGAAACAAGCAUGAAAUCUACCGUGGCAGAUGAUAGAGGACCACCUCCGCUCCUGUGCUGUUGGAGGUCCGAGAAUGAUGCCUCAAGAAGAGAACAUACAGCUGCCCGUAUCUAAUUAGGGAACAAAGAGACAAAAAUCACAUCUGGCCAUUCAAAAUUCCUUUGCUCUAAAUGGUAUCACGGUUAAGUAAAUUAUGAGAUAUUCACUUAAUGGACUAUUU
Chlorocebus sabaeus (green monkey) is the source of this 1006-nucleotide non-coding RNA. The record is from RefSeq and is a predicted model, not a curated record. Lineage: Eukaryota; Metazoa; Chordata; Mammalia; Primates; Cercopithecidae.